GUAGGAUUUUUUUCUCUGAUUCGAAUCCUUUCUCUUCAACAUCUGAAAUUCUCCUUUUCAGAUCUAGAAGCACCCUUGAUGAGGCCUCUAAAUAAUAAAACAUAGGGGUGUGGAACAGCCCUUGGGCGGCAAAGAAGGAGGACACAAGGGGCAGCAAGCAAAGGGUGCCUCCAUACUUACCUUAUCUGGGUGUGAUGGCUAAGAAAACCUUAGAAACCUUAGGGUUUGCUGCUGGUGGCAUGGAGACGACAGGGAGAGAGAG
This 262-nucleotide long non-coding RNA is filed under the name Elaeis guineensis (African oil palm). RNAcentral's name for it is "long non-coding RNA (EGUI_LNC017434)". Lineage: Eukaryota; Viridiplantae; Streptophyta; Magnoliopsida; Arecales; Arecaceae. The record is from RNAcentral.